This 506-nucleotide ribosomal RNA is filed under the name uncultured bacterium. RNAcentral's name for it is "partial 16S ribosomal RNA". It matches the Rfam family "Bacterial small subunit ribosomal RNA", at positions 29 to 523 of the family's 1533-position model. The record is from RNAcentral.
AGUGAACGCUGGCGGUAGGCCUAACACAUGCAAGUCGAACGGCAGCACAGGAGAGCUUGCUCUCUGGGUGGCGAGUGGCGGACGCGUGAGGCCUACAUCGGACUCUACUCUGUCGUGGGGGAUAACGGAGGGAAACUUACGCUAAUACCGCAUACGACCUACGGGUGAAAGCAGGGGACCUUCGGGCCUCGCGCGAUUGAAUGCGCCGAUGUCGGAUUAGCUAGUUGGCGGGGUAAAGGCCCACCAUGGCGACGAUCCGUAGCCGGUCAGAGAGGAUGAUCAACCACACUGGAACUGAGACACGGUCCAGACUCCUACGGGAGGCAGCAGUGGGGGAUAUUGGACAAUGAGCGCAAGCCUGAGGCAGCCAUACCGCGUGGGUGAAGAAGGCCUUCGGGUUGUAAAGCCCUUUUGUUGAGAAAGAAAUCCAGCUGGCUAAUACCCGGUUGGGAUGACGGUACCCAAAGAAUAAGCACCGGCUAACUUCGUGCCAGCCGCCGCGGUAA